AACGAACGCUGGCGGCAGGCCUAACACAUGCAAGUCGAGCGCCCCGCAAGGGGCGCGGCAGACGGGUGAGUAUCGCGUGGGAACGUACCUCUUGGUUCGGAACAACUCCGGGAGACUGGAGCUAUUACCGGAUAAGCCCUAACGGGGAAAGAUUUAUCGCCGAAUGAUGGGCCCGCGUCUGAUUAGCUAGUUGGUGGGGUAAAGGCGCACCAAGGCGACGAUCAGUAGCUGGUCUGAGAGGAUGAUCAGCCACACUGGGACUGAGACACGGCCCAGACUCCUACGGGAGGCAGCAGUGGGGAAUAUUGGACAAUGGGCGAAAGCCUGAUCCAGCCAUGCCGCGUGAGUGAUGAAGGCCUUAGGGUUGUAAAGCUCUUUUGUCCGGGAAGAUAAUGACUGUACCGGAAGAAUAAGCCCCGGCUAACUUCGUG
Molecule: ribosomal RNA, 431 nt
Filed under: uncultured bacterium
Lineage: Bacteria
Description: partial 16S ribosomal RNA
Rfam family: Bacterial small subunit ribosomal RNA
Source: RNAcentral